Molecule: long non-coding RNA, 5124 nt
Filed under: Panax ginseng (ginseng)
Lineage: Eukaryota; Viridiplantae; Streptophyta; Magnoliopsida; Apiales; Araliaceae
Description: long non-coding RNA (PGIN_LNC012313)
Source: RNAcentral
UUUUGAUUGCUCUCGGUCUUGGGAAUAUCGGCCUCCCUUGUUCGGUCUGAGGAAGGUCGUUUAAGGCUAUUCAUGGCCUCCUCCACCACGAUAUAACCUUCUGCCUUAUCAAAGGCUUCUGCCAAACUCUUCGGAUGGUGAAACAUCAGCUUCUUCACCAAUUUUUCAGACUUUACCAGAUCCAGCCCGUUCUGAAAUAAACCUACAGCCUGCAGAUCGUUGAGGUCCGACACCUGGCCAACUGCUUCCCUGAACCUCUUCACGUACUGAACCAAAGACUCAUCGGUGAAUUGUCGGACCUGUGCCAGAGAACCUGUGGGCUUCCCUCUUCUUCGGUUGCUCCCAAAGCGGGCAUGGAACUUGUCACAAAGCUCGGUCCAAGAGGAAAUUGAAUCUGACGGUAAAGUCCCCAUCCACUGUCUCGUAUCCUUUCUCAACGUGGUGACAAACGUGUGACACUUGGCAGCAUCGGUAAAAUCAUAAUAAUCCAUCAGCCGGUUGAACGUCUGGCUAUGGUCAUAAGGGUCCCCAGACCCAUCGUAACUCUCCAUCCGAGAAAACUUCUUGGUGAUAUCUGCCUUCUCUUUAAGAAUAUCCGAGGAAAAAGGUGACGCCUUCUUUCCCGGAGUGUCCUUCACCUGUUGCACCUCAGCUAAUUGCUUUCUAAGCUCCUUCAAUUCUUUCACCAGAAAAUCCACACCUUCUGGCUGCGAGGACACUUCUCUCUCUUGGAAAAACUUAUGCUCCUGAACAGACUGACCUCUUCUAUCUGACCCUGAUGCCUUUGUUAGACUUCUGGAUCUACUCCGGCGUACAACUCUAUCCUCAUGACGAGAAUACUCACGCUGUUGUUCUCUUCUUCUGGUUUCUGGCACGAUCUCCCUCGACCUGCUCAUUUGCCUGUCGUCGUCUCGAUGCUGAGAACCAACGACCAUCAGUGCCUUCUUCGAGGCCACGGGAGUUCUGCUCCUUGACCUUCUUCUGUCUCGGGAACGAUCCCUAGAUACGUGUACAGAAUGCUCCGGUUCUUUUCCCUCUCGCCGUUGCAUCUCCUUAUGCCUACUUCAUCUUUCGGUCUGAACAUAAGUGAACGCCUCGUCUUUCAGAUCGGCCAUCCGAAGCAUCUGCACAGCUAUAUCUUCCCUUUGCUUUAGUAGAACUUCCAAAGCUUUAUCCGCCUCUUCUGCCAUUUUUUCCAACUUGGCAGCUUUGUCAUCUCGACCACUUCGGUGAUGGGUUUUAGGCGGAGAACCCUCCACUCGCCUGCGAUCUUGGUCUCGACCUUUAUCAUCAGCAAAUUCCAACCUUCGUCUGGCACCACCAUGAGCUCUCAGACGAGAACCCUUGGAAUCAUGAUUGGAAGCAGUGCUUUCACUCUCAUGAGCACUCUUCGAAGGACCCAGACGAUCCUUUACUGAAAUACGAUGCAACGAUGAGCUCACAGCCACCGCUUGCCCCUCUGGCGUAUCAUCUCUACUUCUCACCAUCUUCCGAAGUAUGUUAAAUGAAUGUGAUUGAAAACUCAAUGACACUAGAACUCAGCCCUCCUUCUAGCGCCAAUGUUAACGCCAAGAUCUUUUGCCACGUCCCAAUCAAGUAAGACGUCCUGAUCCUGCACAGUAAACACAGUCAACACCAAAAGCUUGACGGCUGGACCGUCGGGGGAUAGCUCAGGCGUGAGAGUCAGUACAGGCCGUUAUAAGGGUUAACAAUGGAGGAUAAAAUGUCUAGUGUUAGAGAGAUAAGAAUUGUGUGUUGUGUGUAUGCAUACCUUCUCUUGGAGAUUUCCUGGUUAGGUUAUACUCUCUUGCCUGGUUUACCGUGCCACCAACUCUUAUCUGACACAGCCCCCUACCUCUCCCUGAUCUCAGCCGGAUGCAUGCAGGUUGUCACCUUUUUCUCCUAUUGUACAUGUCGCCGGCCGGAUAAAAUCCCAUCCACAUUAAUGAUCUGCAGACUUUUGGUCAACAGCCUUCCUUUUCUAUCAUUACAAGUCAAAGUCUUAGAUAUUAAAAGAUCUAAUGGAUCAACCCAUUGACCCGACCCAAUAUUAAGGAGAUAUAAUGUAAGGAUUAUGUCCAAUAACUUUAAGACCCAAUAAUGGAGAUCCAAUGGACUAAUUAAAUAAAUAAGUCCAAUCCAUAAAGCCCAAUAGGAAAAAUAUCAUUACUCAACAAUAUCCAAAAUUUAUAUAUCAAAAAUAGUAUGUGGCAUUGGACCUCCAAAUACUACUACUUUACCCACAUUAAAAGUUAAUAAUCGAAAAAAUCUCUCUAUAUUGUCGUUUUAUUUAUCAUUAUCCAAACACUACUGCUCUACGAACAUUAAACGGUGCUGAGAAAAAACCUUGUCAUUGUCCCUUUUCUGCAUGAGUGUGUGAUUGAAGGUAAUUUGGGUCUUAUCAUUCAUUGUCUGUUAGAACUUAUGUUAUUAGCUGCUCAUGUUUAACUUGAUUUUUUUUUUUUUUGGUAUUUUGCAAGUCUUGUGGUACUGUCCAAAGAGUAUGGAUUUUUUCAACUUUUAUAAUCAUGUUUUGGGUAUUAAUGAAUUUCAUUUUAUUGAUAAAAAAGAAAAAUAAAAUUUUUCACUCAAAUUAGUCACAUGCGGAUCACAUUAUUGAAUUACAGGUUUAAACAUAUAUUUAUAUAUAAGCAAUAACUCUCUUGACUUUUUAAAAAUAUAUUUGAGUCAUUUUUUGUUGUUGUCCAUGUUAGUGUACGAAAAACUACUUAAUAGAUUUAAAAUUAAUAUUAAAAAAUUACAAUUAACUCCUACUUCUAUACCACGAAGACAAAGGCAACCAAGUGGAAUAGGCGGGUAAUUUAAUUAACCUAAUUGGCUUUAUGUGUUAAAGCUAAUUAGGUUUCACAAAAACAAUGGAGUAGCAGCUUCUGUGACAGGUGACCAUACAAUGGAUAUUUUUCAACAUGUUUCACCAGCGGAAUCAGAACGUUUUUAAAGGGGGUCAAAAUAUAUUAGUAAUUUUUUUUUUUAUUGAUGCUUGGAAUGCUUAUUUCGACUGUACGACUGAGAUGAUACAACUGUAUCCUGCGACUCUGUAUAGUUUGAAAACGUCUCAAAUUUUUUGGUCAAUAUCAAAAUUUAUGUAGAAAUAUUAAUUUUUUAUAUGAAAAUAUCAAUUUUCUAUAUAGAACAAAGAAAAUUAAUAAAGAAAGAAAGAAAUCAACAAACGGGAGAGUCUCUGAAGUAAAUUAAAGAUGUUUAAAAAUAAAUAUAAAAUGUUUGUAGAAAAUAAUUUAGUAAAUAAAGAACUUGAUUUUUGUGAUCAUUCUUAAUCUCAAGUAACGACCUAGAUUUGAUUGUAUUUUAAGUUCUUUUAUUUGAAUUUCAUUGCAAAAUAAAAUUUAUUUUAUUUUUUAAUUUAUGGAACGCAUGUAAAAAAUUUUAGACCGUCAUUAUAAACUACUAUUAUUAUACAUAUAUAUAUAUAUAUAUAUAUAUAUAUAUAUAUAUAUUGACUAUUAAUAUAUAGUAUGUGUAGAAUUUUGGUGGGGUCAUAUGACCCCCUGGUCCCCCGGGCCCCGCCCAUGUUUCCAUGCCAGAAAGCUUUACGGAUAAAUUAACACAAAAAAAUAUAAAUAAAAAUAUUUUAUCAGUUUUUUCUUAUUAUAAUUAAAAAAGAACUGGAGACUAUAAAAGGGUAUGCAUGGAAGUCUAGAGAUCACAGAAAUCACACACUUCAUUUCUUAAGAAAAAAGUUGUUGAAGUUUGAAGAGAUCAUGAGGGCAAUAUAUAUUAUCAGCGUCAUUAUAGUUAGCUUGAGCAUUUUCUCUUGGGGUGGGAAUGCUCGAUCAGAUUAUCCAUGGGCAAUGUUUGCCCUAAGGCUUCAAUGGCCAGCUGGAUUUUGCGAGGUCAACAAUGCCUGUGAUACAAAGUCUCUCCUCAACACAUUUACCAUUCACGGCCUUUAUCCCUAUAACGCGAAGGGGACCCCAGCGUUAUAUUGUGACGGAACUGCCUUUGAUGUUAACUCUGUGAGUUCGAUCUCUCAGUCUGCAUUUAAUUUACUUCUUAAAAUCCUUGCUCUAUUGUCUAUUAAAUAUGUUUUUUUGUGGUAACAUUUAUAUAUAUAUAUUGAAGAGUUGGAUAUGUUUGUUUGAUAAAAAAAAAUGAAAUUGUACAUGCAAUAUAUACAUACAUACUCACAUAUGUUAAACUAAUUUCUCUCCUCCUUUAUUUUGAAAAUUAACAGGUAUCGGACUUUCUAGCAGAAAUGCAUCUUGCAUGGCCGAGUCAUGAAACUAACACUGAGGACAUACAAUUCUGGGAACACGAGUGGAAGAAACAUGGAAGGUGUUCAGAAGCUUUGUUGAAGCAGACUGAUUAUUUUAGAACGGCGCUUGCUUUUAGAAAAGCAUUUGAUAUAGUUGGGCUACUAAACCAGGAAGGUAAACAUACCCAUUGAUAUAUAAUUAAAUAGUCUUUAAUUUAGAUUUUGUGGAUGAUUAAUUGAUAAUGUGAGUUUGAUGAUAUUACUAUUCAAAAAUGUCUAGGGAUUUACCCGAAUAACGACCUUUAUCGUCCUAAAAUGAUAAAAGAAGCAAUCAAAAAGCACUUGAAUGCUGUGCCAGAAAUCGAUUUCACCAAAAACGAAAACUCAGAAUAUGUGCUUACGGAUAUUAAUGUAUGCGUGAACCAACAAGCAACAAGGUUCGUAGAUUGCCCUACCGAUGACGCUACUGAUGACUACCGCCUCAAAUUCGUAAGACUGCCUUCUAAAAUGAAAUUUGCGGAUCCGAGGACCAAUUCUAUAAUAUAGCACAAAUGAUACGGCUACAAAAUGGACUACUAUCUUGUUUAAUUAAUGCUUUUGGUAGUAUUAUCUAUGUAAAUUAGUUAUGAGUGCUAGGGUUGGCUAAUUAGUACUAUGAGGCCAACCUUUAGUAUCUUGAAUAAUGUCCAUGUAGCAAAAGUUUAUGGCACUCUGGCCUUGGUGUGUAUGGAUAAUUAUAGUAAAUAACUACUUUUAUCUGCAAAAAAAAACAACCAAGUAUUUUCUUUUGUUUUUAUUUUUGAUAAGAAUUUAAUUUUAUGUAGUUUGAUGGCAUAGCUUAUCUAGGAAACUGAUAUUUCUAUAUGUUAAAAUGAUAUUUUUCAAAUGAG